AUUGAACGCUGGCGGCAGGCCUAACACAUGCAAGUCGAGCGGAUGAAGGGAGCUUGCUCCUGGAUUCAGCGGCGGCCGGGUGAGUAAUGCCUAGGAAUCUGCCUUAUCGUGGGGGAUCACGUCCGGAUACGGGCGCUGAUACCGCAUGCGUCCUGAGGGAGAAGGAGGGGGAUCUUCGGACCUCACGCUAUCAGAUUAGCGUAGGUCGGAUUCGCUAGUUGGUGGGGUAACGGCCUACAAAGGCGACUAUCCGUAACUGGUCUGAGAGGAUGAUCAGGCACACUGGAACUGAGACACGGUCCAGACUCCUACGGGAGGCAGCAGUGGGGAAUAUUGGACGAUGGGCGAAAGCCUGAUCCAGCCAUGCCGCGUGUGUGAAGAAGGUCUUCGGAUUGUAAAGCACUUUAAGUUGGGAGGAAGGGCAGUAAGUUAAUACCUUGCUGUUUUGACGUUACCAACAGAAUAAGCACCGGCUAACUUCGUG
This 484-nucleotide ribosomal RNA is filed under the name uncultured bacterium. Its description in RNAcentral is "partial 16S ribosomal RNA". It matches the Rfam family "Bacterial small subunit ribosomal RNA", at positions 30 to 507 of the family's 1533-position model. The record is from RNAcentral.